AUACGGAGGGUGCAAGCGUUGUUCGGAAUUAUUGGGCGUUAAAGCGCGUGUAGGCGGUUUCUUAAGUCUGAUGUGAAAGCCCCGGGCUCAACCUGGGAGGUGCAUUGGAAACUGGGAGACUUGAGUACGGGAGAGGGUAGUGGAAUUCCUAGUGUAGGAGUGAAAUCCGUAGAUAUUAGGAGGAACACCGGUGGCGAAGGCGGCUACCUGGACCGAUACUGACGCUGAGACGCGAAAGCGUGGGGAGC
RNAcentral lists this ribosomal RNA (248 nucleotides) under uncultured bacterium. RNAcentral describes it as "partial 16S ribosomal RNA". It matches the Rfam family "Bacterial small subunit ribosomal RNA", at positions 523 to 769 of the family's 1533-position model. The record is from RNAcentral.